Molecule: ribosomal RNA, 484 nt
Filed under: uncultured bacterium
Lineage: Bacteria
Description: partial 16S ribosomal RNA
Rfam family: Bacterial small subunit ribosomal RNA
Source: RNAcentral
AUUGAACGCUGGCGGCAUGCUUUACACAUGCAAGUCGAACGGCAGCGCGGGCUUCGGCCUGGCGGCGAGUGGCGAACGGGUGAGUAAUGCAUCGGAACGUGCCCAGGAGUGGGGGAUAGCCCGGCGAAAGCCGGAUUAAUACCGCAUACGACCUGAGGGUGAAAGCGGGGGACCGAAAGGCCUCGCGCUAUUGGAGCGGCCGAUGUCGGAUUAGCUAGUUGGUGGGGUAAAGGCUUACCAAGGCGACGAUCCGUAGCUGGUCUGAGAGGACGACCAGCCACACUGGGACUGAGACACGGCCCAGACUCCUACGGGAGGCAGCAGUGGGGAAUUUUGGACAAUGGGGGCAACCCUGAUCCAGCCAUGCCGCGUGCGGGAAGACGGCCUUCGGGUUGUAAACCGCUUUUGUUCGGGAAGAAAUCCUCUGGGCUAAUACCCCGGGGGGAUGACGGUACCGGAAGAAUAAGCACCGGCUAACUACGUG